Molecule: ribosomal RNA, 453 nt
Filed under: uncultured bacterium
Lineage: Bacteria
Description: partial 16S ribosomal RNA
Rfam family: Bacterial small subunit ribosomal RNA
Source: RNAcentral
GAUGAACGCUGACAGAAUGCUUAACACAUGCAAGUCUACUUGAACUUCGGUUUGGGUGGCGGACGGGUGAGUAACGCGUAAAGAACUUGCCUCACAGUUAGGGACAACAUUUGGAAACGAAUGCUAAUACCUGAUAUUAUGAUUUUAGGGCAUCCUAAGAUUAUGAAAGCUAUAUGCACUGUGAGAGAGCUUUGCGUCCCAUUAGCUAGUUGGAGAGGUAACGGCUCACCAAGGCGAUGAUGGGUAGCCGGCCUGAGAGGGUGAACGGCCACAAGGGGACUGAGACACGGCCCUUACCCCUACGGGAGGCAGAAGGGGGGAAUAUUGGAAAAGGGCCAAAAAGUUUGAUCCAGCAAUUCUGUGGGCAAGAUGACGUUUUUCGGAAUGAAAAGUUCUUUCAGUUGGGAAGAAAAAAAGGCCGGUCCCAACAAAAGAAGGGCCGCCAAAAUACGU